UCUCGGAUAGUGUAGUGGUUAUCACGUAUCCUUCACAUGCUCACAAGCUGAGAUCGGAUAAGGCCCGGGUUCAAUCCCCGGUCUGAGAA
This is a non-coding RNA of Chytridium lagenaria, 89 nucleotides long. The record is from the annotation of a GenBank genome assembly. Lineage: Eukaryota; Fungi; Chytridiomycota; Chytridiomycetes; Chytridiales; Chytridiaceae.